AGUUGGUUAGAGCGCUACCUUGACAUGGUAGAGGUCACAGAUUCGAGUUCUGUAUCGACCA
RNAcentral lists this transfer RNA (61 nucleotides) under Fibrobacter sp. UWH9. RNAcentral's name for it is "tRNA_Val_GAC". It matches the Rfam family "tRNA", at positions 14 to 71 of the family's 71-position model. Rfam says of the family: Transfer RNA (tRNA) molecules are approximately 80 nucleotides in length. Their secondary structure includes four short double-helical elements and three loops (D, anti-codon, and T loops). Lineage: Bacteria; Pseudomonadati; Fibrobacterota; Fibrobacteria; Fibrobacterales; Fibrobacteraceae. The record is from RNAcentral.